RNAcentral lists this ribosomal RNA (301 nucleotides) under uncultured bacterium. Its description in RNAcentral is "partial 16S ribosomal RNA". It matches the Rfam family "Bacterial small subunit ribosomal RNA", at positions 509 to 807 of the family's 1533-position model. The record is from RNAcentral.
CAGUAGCCGCGGUAAUACGAAGGGGGCUAGCGUUGUUCGGAUUUACUGGGCGUAAAGCGCACGUAGGCGGAUCGAUCAGUCAGGGGUGAAAUCCUGGAGCUCAACUCCAGAACUGCCUUUGAUACUGUCGAUCUCGAGUCCGGAAGAGGUGAGUGGAACUCCUAGUGUAGAGGUGGAAUUCGUAGAUAUUAGGAAGAACACCAGUGGCGAAGGCGGCUCACUGGUCCGGUACUGACGCUGAGGUGCGAAAGCGUGGGGAGCAAACAGGAUUAGAUACCCGUGUAGUCCCUGUCUCUUAUAC